CACAUAGUAGAAAGUAAUUUUUAAAAAUUUUUAAACAAGCAAAUCAAUAACCUUAUGAAAUAAAACUAUGGAGCCGAACGCAAAACCCUAGAAUCACUUUGCCGAUCAUGAUCAAAGCAAAUUUAAGCAUACAAAGAGAUAGAAAUUUAUACUUUAAUCAAUAUAAAAAAGUAGCACAUUGAUGCUUUCCACAAGACCUCAAGGUAGAAGUCCUCCAACGGUGAUCUAUAUGGAAGUUGGCCAAAGUCUUUCCUAACUGGUGCGCUAUCGCAGCCUUGUCUUUCGAACUUGCAUGA
Molecule: long non-coding RNA, 296 nt
Filed under: Elaeis guineensis (African oil palm)
Lineage: Eukaryota; Viridiplantae; Streptophyta; Magnoliopsida; Arecales; Arecaceae
Description: long non-coding RNA (EGUI_LNC060066)
Source: RNAcentral